Molecule: long non-coding RNA, 937 nt
Organism: Arachis stenosperma
Lineage: Eukaryota; Viridiplantae; Streptophyta; Magnoliopsida; Fabales; Fabaceae
Exons: 3
Source: RefSeq, a predicted model, not a curated record
UAAAUCUACAAUCAGAAAGGGAAAGAAAGGGAACGGGGAGCUUGAGGGGGAAACAGAAGGGAAGAAAGAAGGAAACGAAGAACAGAGGGAGAGGGUGAGGGAACAGAAGAAGAAGAGAGGCAGGAGGAUCGCUGCGCCGUGCUGCUCCAUGCGCCGGUUACCGUCGCUAUCGCCAGAGCCAGAGGACAGAAAGAGAACGCUUGCAAGGGAGAGGACAAACGCGAGGAGAAGGAGAGCUCGUGCGCGAAGGACAGUGCCGCCACUCCGUCGCCGCGCAGCUGUUGCUGCCACCCCGUCACCAUCGUUGUCGCGGCUGGAAGCAUAAAGUUCGAACAGAGGGGGAGAAACCGCGAGGUGAAGGGUGACGCUGGGCCUCUGUCGCUGCUGCUAUCACCAAGCGUUGUUGUCGUUGCCGCUGAAGGCCAAGGCCCUAUCGUUGUCAUCGAUUCUGCCUGGAGCCACCACCCACUUGUCACACAGCCAGUUAGUUACUCUGCCGCUGCUGAAUUUGCUGUGUUGAGACUGAAACUGCCACUUUGACUCUGGGCUGUAAUUGUUCUUUAUUCCCAUCCAAUUUGAAUUCCUUGUUUCGCUGUAACUAUCAUUACUGUUGUGGAAUUGUCGCCGUUGCGAGCAUGAUUAGAGACAGUGCCAGAUUUGGAUUUGCGUGGGAAUUGCCACUGCUGUGAGUAAGAAGGAAAAGCCGCUCACAGCGUUUAAUCUUACGAGUUUCGACAUUGAGUGACACAGGUUUGAAGAUGUGAUUUGAAGCUGCGAGCGAUUAGUAGGCUUCCUUUAUGGUUUUAAUUGCUUUCAUAGAGUCCCCUCGCUCUUGUCCUUUGAAGUUUUAUUUUAUCAGAGGGAUAGGUAUUGUAUUUGGGUUUAUAUGACUUCCUAUGUAUAAGAAUUACUAAUAAUAAUACCUCUGUGAUUGUUA